UAUGGACGUGGUGGUUUUUUUAACAGUAAAAUAUUUGUUUAAAGCAUCGAACGAAUCCAAAACGUAUUUUGGAUUGUGUGUUUGCCAUGCAUAACACCUUAAGAACAGACACUGGAAGUGUAUAUCGUUGUAACUUUAUUGUUAUUAGCAUUGGAUUAAAGUUGCCUUUGAGAAACCACAUGUUGACCUUCGGCCGACUGAAACUUCCAAACGCGCAACUGUGACGGGUCACCGAUAAAAGGCAAUACAACAACCGCAUAGUCACAGAGCUUGGCAUAUCCAGGAAGGAGAUACUCGACUGUAGGCGAGGCCAAAUCCACAUCAUCUGAGAUAUCCAUUUUAUGACGGAUCAGUCGGAUGCAAUCGAAACUGCAGCAGUGAACUUCGAUUGGAUGUUUGCGGAGUUCGCUCAAAGGAAGGGUCAUACGAGAUUCCGAGUUUGGAAUGUUUACAGUGGCAUUCGAUUCAUCGGCCAAGACUCGAUGUGUGUAAGGUUGCCCAAACACGUUCUUCUUGUUCGUCUGAGAAAUUACACCGGUUUGAGUCUCGGAAUCAACAAAGUGGUCAGAUAUUUCAUUUAAGAAAUAAACACGGCAGGUAGGUGCAGACUCGACAUCAAUAUUCGUGUUAGUAUCGCCCAACAAACAGUUCAUGGGUUGAGUUUUAUUUUUGCUUUGUGAAUUCACUGAGUACUUUUUAAUUCCAGUGUAACUUCUUAAGUUAAUGCAUCCUUUGAUGCGCGUGCGCAAUUCAAGUCUAUACAAAUAUCGUCUAUGUAGCACGAAUAA
This is a long non-coding RNA of Dreissena polymorpha, 788 nucleotides long. RefSeq lists it as uncharacterized. Lineage: Eukaryota; Metazoa; Mollusca; Bivalvia; Myida; Dreissenidae. The record is from RefSeq and is a predicted model, not a curated record. The transcript is spliced from 2 exons.